GACGAACCGUACGAACGUUAUUCGGAAUCACUGGGCUUAAAGGGUGCGUAGGCUGCGCAGCAAGUUGGGUGUGAAAUCCCUCGGCUUAACCGAGGAACUGCGCCCAAAACUGCUGUGCUCGAGGGAGAUAGAGGUGAGCGGAACUUAGGGUGGAGCGGUGAAAUGCGUUGAUAUCCUAAGGAACACCGGUGGCGAAAGCGGCUCACUGGAUCUCUUCUGACGCUGAGGUACGAAAGCUAGGUAGCGAACGGG
RNAcentral lists this ribosomal RNA (252 nucleotides) under uncultured bacterium. RNAcentral describes it as "partial 16S ribosomal RNA". It matches the Rfam family "Bacterial small subunit ribosomal RNA", at positions 524 to 776 of the family's 1533-position model. The record is from RNAcentral.